Molecule: ribosomal RNA, 444 nt
Filed under: uncultured bacterium
Lineage: Bacteria
Description: bacterial SSU rRNA
Rfam family: Bacterial small subunit ribosomal RNA
Source: RNAcentral
UCCAGACUCCUACGGGAGGCAGCAGUGAGGGAUAUUGGUCAAUGGGAGGAACCCUGAACCAGCAACGCCGCGUGAGGGAAGACGGUUUUCGGAUUGUAAACCUCUGUCCUCUGUGAAGAUAAUGACGGUAGCAGAGGAGGAAGCUCCGGCUAACUACGUGCCAGCAGCCGCGGUAAUACGGAGGAUGCGAGCGUUAUCCGGAUUUAUUGGGUUUAAAGGGUGCGCAGGCGGCACGGCAAGCCGGCGGUAAAAUCGGGGGGCUCAACCUCGCUCCGCCGUUGAAACUGGCGUUCUUGAGUGGGCGAGAAGUAUGCGGAAUGCGUGGUGUAGCGGUGAAAUGCAUAGAUAUCACGCAGAACUCCGAUUGCGAAGGCAGCAUACCGGCGCCCAACUGACGCUGAAGCACGAAAGCGUGGGUAUCGAACAGGAUUAGAUACCCCGGUA